Molecule: ribosomal RNA, 435 nt
Filed under: Clostridioides difficile
Lineage: Bacteria; Bacillati; Bacillota; Clostridia; Peptostreptococcales; Peptostreptococcaceae
Description: bacterial SSU rRNA
Rfam family: Bacterial small subunit ribosomal RNA
Source: RNAcentral
AUUGCACAAUGGGCGAAAGCCUGAUGCAGCAACGCCGCGUGAGUGAUGAAGGCCUUCGGGUCGUAAAACUCUGUCCUCAAGGAAGAUAAUGACGGUACUUGAGGAGGAAGCCCCGGCUAACUACGUGCCAGCAGCCGCGGUAAUACGUAGGGGGCUAGCGUUAUCCGGAUUUACUGGGCGUAAAGGGUGCGUAGGCGGUCUUUCAAGUCAGGAGUGAAAGGCUACGGCUCAACCGUAGUAAGCUCUUGAAACUGGGAGACUUGAGUGCAGGAGAGGAGAGUGGAAUUCCUAGUGUAGCGGUGAAAUGCGUAGAUAUUAGGAGGAACACCAGUUGCGAAGGCGGCUCUCUGGACUGUAACUGACGCUGAGGCACGAAAGCGUGGGGAGCAAACAGGAUUAGAUACCCUGGUAGUCCACGCUGUAAACGAUGAGUAC